GGUAAGUAGGUGACAGUGGGGGGGGUAAUACAGGAGGGGUAAGGUGUAAUCGGGAUUACUGGGCGUAAAUCGCGCGUAGGUGGUUUGUUAAGUUGGAUGUGAAAGCCCCGGGCUCAACCUGGGAACUGCAUCCAAAACUGGCAAGCUAGAGUACGGUAGAGGGUGGUGGAAUUUCCUGUGUAGCGGUGAAAUGCGUAGAUAUAGGAAGGAACACCAGUGGCGAAGGCGACCACCUGGACUGAUACUGACACUGAGGUGCGAAAGCGUGGGGAGCAAACAGGAUUAGAUACCCCAGUAGUC
This 300-nucleotide ribosomal RNA is filed under the name uncultured Lactobacillus sp. RNAcentral's name for it is "bacterial SSU rRNA". It matches the Rfam family "Bacterial small subunit ribosomal RNA", at positions 496 to 795 of the family's 1533-position model. Lineage: Bacteria; Bacillati; Bacillota; Bacilli; Lactobacillales; Lactobacillaceae. The record is from RNAcentral.